UCCCCAGCGAUGUGGAUUCUACUUAUUAGGGAGGGGAACACUUACAGGUCUAUCAUUAAUGGUCCUCCUUUCAAAUGAAAUGAACCCGACCCCCACGGAAAUAUCAAAGGGCCGUAACCACCUCGUCUCUCUCGGCGCAGCGCUGAAUAGCGAGCAGCCUGAAGUCGUUUCGCUCUACUCAGACAUCUCUACAAUAAAACAUAAGCCCACUCUUGUAUAUUUUAAGUUUGUCUGGUGACCAUUUUUGAAAACAAAAAGGGUCCCUUUGAUGUGGUCUGAUUCUAACAGGGGCUGCGACGUCAGAUGUGGUCUACCGAAUCUUUCUGGAAAUAUUUUUAAUUAUGCCCCAGAGCUCCUCGUAGCCCCAAAGUAAUCAUCAGAGAGCGGUUCGAGCCUGUCGCUUCACGUGGGGGGAAGAGGAUGCUCUAGACCGUGUUCUUCUCAUUAGGAAGUACAGUCUGCUUUCUCUCCUGUAGCUGGGAUGGCUGACUGGAACCACAGAAUCAAUCAGAUUGGAGAAGACCUCUGAGAUCAUGGAGUCCAACCUUUGACUGAUACCCACCUUGUCAGCCAGACCAUGAGCCACAUCCAGUCCUUCCUUGGACACCUCCCUCACAUAAACUGCACUGAACCGUGAAAAAA
Cyanistes caeruleus (blue tit) is the source of this 642-nucleotide long non-coding RNA. RefSeq lists it as uncharacterized. Lineage: Eukaryota; Metazoa; Chordata; Aves; Passeriformes; Paridae. The record is from RefSeq and is a predicted model, not a curated record.